CUGUGCUAGGUGGGGGGCUAGCGGUCCCCUGUACCCGAGAUCCGCUUCAUGCGGGACUGAAUCCCCUCCCGAGGCCGGCCGUCGCGGAUCCUGCUCGCGCACGGAGGCGUUGAAGGCCGGGUCCUGUGCAGCAGCGGGCCGUGAACCCCGUCAGAUCCGGAAGGAAGCAGCGGUAAGCGGAGUUCGCUGGGUGCCGCAGGGCGACCUGGUCCGAGCCGACGACGCGGGUGAGACCGUGAUGGUCCGUUCGACGGAGGGUGCACGG
This 265-nucleotide signal recognition particle RNA is filed under the name Chloroflexi bacterium GWC2_70_10. Its description in RNAcentral is "signal recognition particle sRNA large type". It matches the Rfam family "Bacterial large signal recognition particle RNA". From Rfam's summary of the family: The signal recognition particle (SRP) is a universally conserved ribonucleoprotein involved in the co-translational targeting of proteins to membranes. Archaeal SRP consists of a 7S RNA and homologues of the eukaryotic SRP19 and SRP54 proteins. In most bacteria, the SRP consists of a 4.5S RNA and the Ffh protein (a homologue of the eukaryotic SRP54 protein). Lineage: Bacteria; Bacillati; Chloroflexota. The record is from RNAcentral. RNAcentral also lists the same sequence under 1 other name.